GAGAUAAUAGUAUAAGGAGUAUUUUUCUUUUUCGCAGAAAAGGUUAUUUAUCUUA
RNAcentral lists this transfer RNA (55 nucleotides) under Pristionchus pacificus. RNAcentral describes it as "tRNA-Glu". The record is from RNAcentral. Lineage: Eukaryota; Metazoa; Nematoda; Chromadorea; Rhabditida; Neodiplogasteridae.